UACGAAGGGGGCGAGCGUUGUUCGGAUUUACUGGGCGUAAAGCGUGCGCAGGCGGCGCGUUAAGACAGGUGUGAAAGCCCCGAGCUUAACUUGGGAAUUGCGCUUGUGACUGGCGUGCUGGAGUGUGGCAGAGGGAGGUGGAAUUCCACGUGUAGCAGUGAAAUGCGUAGAGAUGUGGAGGAACACCAGUGGCGAAGGCGAGUCCCUGGACAGAUCCUGACGCUGAGGCACGAAAGCUAGGGGAGCAAACAGG
Molecule: ribosomal RNA, 253 nt
Filed under: uncultured bacterium
Lineage: Bacteria
Description: partial 16S ribosomal RNA
Rfam family: Bacterial small subunit ribosomal RNA
Source: RNAcentral